GAUGAACGCUGGCGGCGCGCCUAACACAUGCAAGUCGAACGGCACCCACCCUCGGGUGGAAGCGAGUGGCGAACGGCUGAGUAACACGUGGAGAACCUGCCCCCUCCCCCGGGAUAGCCGCCCGAAAGGACGGGUAAUACCGGAUACCCCGGGGUGCCGCAUGGCACCCCGGCUAAAGCCCCGACGGGAGGGGAUGGCUCCGCGGCCCAUCAGGUAGACGGCGGGGUGACGGCCCACCGUGCCGACAACGGGUAGCCGGGUUGAGAGACCGACCGGCCAGAUUGGGACUGAGACACGGCCCAGGCUCCUACGGGAGGCAGCAGUGGGGAAUCUUGCGCAAUGGGGGGAACCCUGACGCAGCGACGCCGCGUGCGGGACGGAGGCCUUCGGGUCGUAAACCGCUUUCAGCAGGGAAGAGUCAAGACUGUACCUGCAGAAGAAGCCC
RNAcentral lists this ribosomal RNA (445 nucleotides) under uncultured bacterium. RNAcentral describes it as "bacterial SSU rRNA". It matches the Rfam family "Bacterial small subunit ribosomal RNA", at positions 28 to 493 of the family's 1533-position model. The record is from RNAcentral.